Molecule: long non-coding RNA, 3714 nt
Filed under: Brassica rapa (field mustard)
Lineage: Eukaryota; Viridiplantae; Streptophyta; Magnoliopsida; Brassicales; Brassicaceae
Description: long non-coding RNA (BRAP_LNC003974)
Source: RNAcentral
GUGACCAGUAUCCACGGUAUUUUUGAGCAAAUCUCUGAAAAGAUCCUCAUGACUGAUCGGUUAAGAAGAGAAGCAGUUGACUAUGAGAAGAAGCUGGGUUCCAUCACAAGCCGGGGCAUGAGUCUGGAAAAAUUACAAGCCGACCUCGAUGCCAUCAGGCAAGAGAACCAAAGUCUUGAGAAACAACUGAAUUAAUGUGGUUUAUACUUCACUAUGAGGUUUGUAGAGUAUUCGAGGUUUAACAAAGAGCCAUCUGCUAGGGUGCUUUCAGGUUUUGAGUGCAUUUGUUUCAUAGAGAAUGAGUAAAAAGAUUUCUGAAUGCUAAAGAAAGACCAAAAGGUUAUUCAGCCAAGACAUAUCUGAUACUAUAUGUUUGUAAGAGAAUACAAACUAAAAGAGACAUCAUCAGUUUCUAAUAACUAUUCCAUUGGGAUCAUCUUCCCAAACAUCGUUCUUUAUGUAUUAUCACAACAAAAUAAAUAUGGCAAAAAGGUUUGCUACAUUGAAAGCUCAUCUUCUUCUUCUUCCCUCUUGUAAUUGUCAAACCUAAAUUCCUCUGGGGAUGAUGUUUCCUAUUUACACCCAAAAAUCCAGACUUUAACACGCUUGAUGUGUAUCUACAGACAUUAUAUGAAACAUUGUAGCUUCUUGUGCGAGCAUUGUGUUUCAAUGACUAAGAAUCGUUUUAAUGGAUUUAUUUUAAUUAAUAUUUAUCAUUUGCAAUGGCUAGUUAUAAGUUGGUGUUUUUUUAUGUGGAUAAGUUGAGGACCAGAUUCUCAACAGUGCAAGUGAUCUAGUUCUUCUUUUUUGAGUCUAAAUCACAUCACUGCGCUAUGUGCCAGAGCCUCAAAUCUUUAAAUUUUGUUUCUUUUGGUGAAGAAAACACAUUAUUAACAAGAAAAUUUGUGUUUUUAAUCGAGAUCUUUGUGUACAACUUUCACCUGAACCCCUGUAAAUGCCUUGAUACUAAUUUACAAACUCAACACACUCUAAACGUUAGUUAGAGAGCUUUUAGGAUCGUCGCUUGGGUUGCAAGGCAACAGUUGUUCAACAAUCUCCGUGAAAUGGUAAGGUUAUUUUUUACCGUUCUUUCUUCUUUUCUUAUUUGAAAAAAGGAAAUACAGUUCACUUCACAAGUGACAUGCAUGCGUGAUAGAUUAUUACCGAGUCCCGAAAAAAUACGACCGUUACACGGUAAGAAAAUUUAUUACUUUUGUGAUCAAUUUCCAUUUCCCUUUUGCAGCAUUAAUUGGAAAAGAAAAUUAUACAACGGAUAUAUCUCUUACUUCUUCUAUAAAUACUCACUCUUUUACUUCACUCGACUCAUCCAAAUUUCCCACUCUUUAUUUUCUUUAUAAAAAUUCAUGUUUCUUCUCGAGUAAAGCUUUUUUUUCUCUGAAAAAGGAAUUUUUUGUUACGGGAAAACUUAUAUGUUGCAUCACUUUGUUUCAUGGCAUUUACUGUGUUCUUCUGGAGGAUUUUCUGGCUGUGACAGAGGUUAUUACCAGAGUGGAAACGAGGGAAGCGCAAGCCAGAUGACGAAGCCAUUUCGAUCAUGGAGAGGUUUACGAGCACUUUCUCGAGCCGGAAUGUUUUACUGAGACGAACUCUUUCUCUCCGGGCCUCACCCAUAAUAUUAAUAUGAGGAAAGCAUCUCGUUUCGUGUCAAAAGAUUGACAUCGGAUCCGGACAGUUUUUCUUUUUAAACUAAGAAAAUUAUUUUUUUACUUUUUAUUUUUGGUUUUAAAUUUUGAUAUUAUAUAAUAUAUAUUGCACAAUUCUUUCUAUAAAAUUUUCUGUGGUCAGUUAACGGGGUAUAUGUUUAAUAUGUUAUUCGUAUUGUAAAUUUAAAACUUAUACUAGUUUUCAUUUUGGAGAAAGAUGUGAGUGAUAAAUUUUAAUAUGUUAAAAAUAGACCAAAUUAUGGCAUCCAGUCUAUAGAAUUUUUAUAGUCCGUAAGUUUUGGUGUACAUAUUUAACAUAUUUUUUUUAUUGUAAAUUUAACACUUACAUUAAUUUUCAUUUUGGGAAAAAGUUUAAGAUAAUGAAUUGCAAUACGUAGAAGCAAACCAAAAUAUGGUCCGUUAGCCGGUGUAUAUGUUUAAUAUGUUAUUCAUAUUGUAAAUUUAAGACUUAUACUAGUUUUCAUUUUGGAGAAAGGUGUAGGUGAUAAAUUUCAAUAUGUUAAAAACAAACCAAACUAUUGCAUUCAGUCUAUAGAAUUUCUAUAGUCCGUAAGUUUUGGUGUACAUGUUUAACAUGUUUUUUUAUUGUAAAUUUAACACUUACACUAAUUUUCAUUUUGGAAAAAAGUUUAAGCUAAUGAAUUGCAAUAUGUAGAAGCAAACCAAACUAUUGCAUCAUGUCCAUAGAAUAUUUUAUGGUCUGUUAAAAGUGUAAUAUAUAUUUUUAGUAUUGUAAAUUUAACACUUAAAACUAAUUUUCAAAGUUUUCCUUGAGUAUGCAAAGUGUUUUGAUUUAUUUUUAAAGUUUUCAACAAUAUGUUUAAUAUGUUUUUUUCCCUGUUGUAAAUUUGACGAGGGAAGGGCAAAAGUCAUCGCGGAGGUGAUCAAAAUUUAUUGAUAAGAAGGAAUCCGAGAUCGAGGAGAUACACUGAAACAGAAAGAGGUAUCAAGAAACUCAAAAGUAAGUUUAAUAUGUUUAUAAAUUGUUUUGAUUUUAAUCACUUGCUUCAUAGCACUUAUUGUUUUGUCUUCUUUUGGAGGAUUUUCUGGCCGUACCAGAGUGGGGACGAGAACCAAGUUAGAUACUGAAACAAAAGAGUAGCAAGAAACUCAAAAGUAAGCCAAAGUGGAGCUGUGUAGAGUUCACAUUCACAGCAUAACGAGAUUUCCUUAAAAAGAGAGAGUUCAAGAAUGCAUUUAUUACAAUGACUAUUAACAUACUUAUGGGGGGUAGAUAAAAUUUUCAUAACAAUUUGUAAUAGCUAAGUUUAUAUUUCCCGAAAUCAGAGUUAAUAAUAUUUCAGACUGAAACUGAGAACAGAAUCAUCAGAAGAAUUGAAAAAAAAAAACGAGAAAGGGAAACUCCAAGAAUCCAUUUUAUUGGCAUCAUAAAAAAACAAGAAGAUGUUGCGGAUACAUGUUGAAGGGAAAGCUUUACGAUGAAUGAUUCUCAUCGGAUUUGUAAAUUUUGUGAUCAUCAUCAGCCUCACUACUCUGAUGUACAUUAAGGAUAAGAGAGUGUCAAUGUUUGACAAAUGACAAAGUGCCAAUAAAAAAGUAAAAUAAACAUUAGACUAACAUUAGACUCAACAAAUCUUUUAAUUAUAAAUAAUACUGGACCUCAUGACAAUGCAACUACAAAGAGCCAAAUCUUAAGUUUCACAAACAAUAUAAGACCGUUUUAAAAAGAUAGAAACUAACAAAACACACAUAUAUAACGCUCUCUGUCUCGAGUUUUAAAAUGCAUGAGAACAACACAAAGAACAAACAUCCCAGAGCUCCACAUGAUCUCUCUUUGCCUGCAACACUCUUUUUGAAACCGAUGUAAAUAACUCCACCUAUGUUAGCUAGUGACCAGUAUCCACGGUAGGUUUGAGCAAAUCUCUGAAAAGAUCCUCAUGACUGAUCGGUUAAGAAGAGAAGCAGUUGACUAUGAGAAGAAGCUGUGGAGAAAUUACAAGCCGACCUCGAUGCCAUCAGGCAAGAGAACCAAAGUCUUGAGAAACAACUGAAUUAAUGUGGUUUAUAC